CCUACGGGUGGCAGUGGGGAAUAUUGGACAAUGGGCGAAAGCCUGAUCCAGCCAUGCCGCGUGUGUGAAGAAGGCCUUCGGGUUGUAAAGCACUUUCAGUGGGGAAGAAAGCCUUGGGGCUAAUACCCUCGAGGAAGGACAUCACCCACAGAAGAAGCACCGGCUAACUCCGUGCCAGCAGCCGCGGUAAUACGGAGGGUGCGAGCGUUAAUCGGAAUUACUGGGCGUAAAGCGCGCGUAGGCGGUCUGAUAAGCCGGUUGUGAAAGCCCCGGGCUCAACCUGGGAACGGCAUCCGGAACGGUAGGGCUGGAGUGGAGGAGAGGAGGGGAAAAUCCCGGGGGUAGGGGGGAAGUGCGAGAGGAUGGGGAGGAAUAGCGGUGGGAAGGGGGGCUUUGGGGACUGACAUAGACGCUGGGGUGCAAAGGCGGGGGUAGCAAACGAGAUGAGAUACCUGGUAGUC
RNAcentral lists this ribosomal RNA (461 nucleotides) under Vreelandella stevensii. RNAcentral's name for it is "partial 16S ribosomal RNA". It matches the Rfam family "Bacterial small subunit ribosomal RNA", at positions 338 to 795 of the family's 1533-position model. Lineage: Bacteria; Pseudomonadati; Pseudomonadota; Gammaproteobacteria; Oceanospirillales; Halomonadaceae. The record is from RNAcentral.